Molecule: non-coding RNA, 107 nt
Organism: Dendrothele bispora CBS 962.96
Lineage: Eukaryota; Fungi; Basidiomycota; Agaricomycetes; Agaricales
Source: the annotation of a GenBank genome assembly
GGUGAGAUGGCCGAGCGGUCUAAGGCGCCAGACUAAGGAGGAUCAGGGCACGUGGUGUCCAAAAAAUCUGGUCCGAAAGGGCGUGGGUUCGAAUCCCACUCUCAUCA